UCCUGCCUGACUCAGGCCAAGGUGGGCACUCGUGGCUCGUUCUUAGACCUUCCAACUCUGGGGCAGGAGUAGCCCUGUCCUAGGAGUGGCCCUGCUGUGCCAGGGCCCCAGGGACAACCCCAUCCUGCUGGACUGGCCAGGAUGAUACCAUUCAAAUGACACUGGCUGCUCUGGACGAGACGGAGGCAGUCACAUUCUUGGCAACACCAAGGGGGAGCCCAGAUGCCGCAGUGAUGGGCACUGAGCUGAGACCCAAGAGAGACCACAUCUGUGCAGACCAUACAUGGUGGCACAGACUCUCCCAGAGCGCUGCAAUUUCCUGUGCCAGUCAUCCGAGGGGAAGGCUCAGGCAGUUACUGAUCCAUGAGAAGACCUUCCCUUUUGUCCCAUGA
Long non-coding RNA from Trachemys scripta elegans, 392 nucleotides. RefSeq lists it as uncharacterized. The record is from RefSeq and is a predicted model, not a curated record. Lineage: Eukaryota; Metazoa; Chordata; Testudines; Emydidae. The transcript has 3 exons.